AGUGAACGCUGGCGGUAGGCCUAACACAUGCAAGUCGAACGGCAGCACAGUAAGAGCUUGCUCUUACGGGUGGCGAGUGGCGGACGGGUGAGGAAUACAUCGGAAUCUACUUUUUCGUGGGGGAUAACGUAGGGAAACUUACGCUAAUACCGCAUACGACCUACGGGUGACAGCAGGGGAUCUUCGGACCUUGCGCGAUUGAAUGAGCCGAUGUCGGAUUAGCUAGUUGGCGGGGUAAAGGCCCACCAAGGCGACGAUCCGUAGCUGGUCUGAGAGGAUGAUCAGCCACACUGGAACUGAGACACGGUCCAGACGCCUACUGGAGGCAGCAGUGGGGAAUAUUGGACAAUGGGCGCAAGCCUGAUCCAGCCAUACCGCGUGGGUGAAGAAGGCCUUCGGGUUGUAAAGCCCUUUUGUUGGGAAAGAAAAGCAGCAGGUUAAUACCCCGCUGUUCUGACGGUACCCAAAUAAUAAGCACCGGCUAACUUCGUG
This 492-nucleotide ribosomal RNA is filed under the name uncultured bacterium. RNAcentral describes it as "partial 16S ribosomal RNA". It matches the Rfam family "Bacterial small subunit ribosomal RNA", at positions 29 to 507 of the family's 1533-position model. The record is from RNAcentral.